AGCGCACGGUGCGCCUGCUCUUAGUUCCCAUGAUCUGCACCACGCCAAGUGUGUCUGUUUUGAAGCAGAGCUCCCUUCGUUGUCUUAGGUACUAUUCUUCCCACCCACCUGGAGUUCACAGUUGAUUUUUCUAUGUCUGUGCUCACAGUACACUUUGCUUUCUCUCUUUAGACAUAACCUUGAAUUUGUUCCCUACUUUUCAAGGUGCCUUAUAUAAUUUAUUAAGACUAUUUUGAAUUCUAGUUCUAUCUUUUCAAGUGUCUGUAACUCCAAACUUAUCAGUAUGCCUUUAAUUCUGUCACCCAGAAAAUAAUGAAAAUGCAGAACAGACUAUGAUAUGAGCACUAGGACUGAAUCUUCAAGAUCUCUAAUCAACAAGAGAUGUGUUUUAUGAUACUACUCUUAAGGUCACUCAAACUUAGCAAAAUUAAGAUGACAUUGAAUUAUACAAAAUUCUGUUUAUUGAUAAAGGCUGAAUUAAAGAUGACACUGAAUUGUUAAUGACGUUAUCCAUUGCUUUUCUCUAGGUUAAAAUUUCAUCACAGAAUAUCACCACUCUAAGUAUAUUUGCUAGUUGCAAGACAAAAAUAAAGUUAUAACCAAGAGCUUGUAAAGGUGAUCUCUACUACCCUCGCUAUUGUUACUGUAGAACAAUAGAAAAUUCAGUAAUUAGCUACUUUGUAAAUAUAAAAUUACAACAUAUAUUUUAAAUUAACAUGAGAAGCUACAGAUAAUGAUCUGGGCAAUUGAGAAGAGUAUUAACAGUACUCCUAUUAUAAAAUUAAAUUGCUGGAUGACUUCAUAAGAUACUACACUGAAAGGGGUAAAAUAGUGAAAAGUAACUUUAGGGCUAAGGGUAGAGUGCAUGCUUAACAUGUUUUUGGGCUAGGUUUAAUACACACACACACACACACACACACACACACACGCACACCACCUUAAAAAUAAAAUACCCGGAGCUAAAGCAGAUACUCUUAAAACAACAGAGAGUGUAGUAGUUGCAUCUCAAUAUUUGAAAAGUCUUAUAUUGGUGCUUUUACACUAAAUAAACAAACUUAAUUUCAAAAUAUUUGAUCAAAAACAGUUUCUAUGAAAGUAUGUCUGUCAUUGCUAAUGCACAUUACAAAAGAUACACACAAUAUCUGUAAAGUUAACAGCAAUGUCCUUGAAGAACAGUUUUUGGUUAACUAAAAAUAUUUACUGACUCAUCAUUUAACGGCUCUGCAUCAUAUCUUAGUUGAUAUUUUCUAAUUUCUUUUAGUUUCAGGUUAUUUCAGACGUCUAGGUUAGAAAGACAUGCUUGUUAUUUAUAAACUACACAGGAAUAACUCAAGGGAGAAUUAUAUUAUCUCAAUAGAUUCAGACUUAUGGAAUGUCUGAUAAAGGGAUAUUUCUAAACAGAAAAAGGAACCUAUAUCAAAAGAAAAUAAAUCUGAGCUGUGAUGUUCAGUGAGGAGUCAGUGAACUGACCUUGGAAUUGUAUUGUAUAAACACACAAUUCUUUCCCAUUUAGUUUUCUGCUGGCAUAUACAGUUCUGUCUGCAUGUAAUUGUUAAUGCAUCAUUUAUUUAUAUCAAAAGCCUGCCCUAGACAAGAGUCCUAAAAAUACAGUAAGAUGACAGUCUUUGUUCUGGGAGUAAAAGAACUUGAGAAAAUUCUCAUUCUUAAAAUAUACUAUUUUAUGAAAUCAAUUCUCAGAUACUCGGUUCCUAGUCAUUGAGCUAUGAAUUGCCUAUAAAUAUGUUCAAAUAUGCUACUUUACUUUCUUUUUUUCUAUGUGUUGGCUUUGACUGCUCAUUAGCACCUCUAGGACAAGACAGGAUGGUGAUGCAAAUCUACCAAUUUAGUAGACUUAGCCAAAAACUUUGGAUAUUCAUUUUCCUAAAAAAAAAUAUAUUUCAUCAUAGUUCUUGAGAUAUGCAUUUCUCUAGUGUCUAAGUAAACAUAAUAUAGAGAAAUUAGACAUUUAUUUUUAAUUCUAAUGCACCAUUUUAAAUUUUAAAACCUACUUCUAGUGAAUAUUUUCUAAUAUUUGUUUUUAUUAUAGUCAAUAGCCAAGAUUAAUGAUGUAGCGUAGGUGAAAACAUUUAAAGUAAGUAUAUAUUUUUAUUUGUUUUGGAACCAUCUAUUUAAGAAAGCUUAGAGAGAAAAUGUCACCGGGAUUUUUUGAAUUAUACAAUGAUUUUCACUGUAAAAGCCUUAGAAUUAGUAGAAUAUGACUUAUGAAUUGAAAUGAGCAAUAUGAAUUUACUAGUUCCUCAACAAACAUGAAGAAUUCUAGAAGUCAAAUGAAAUAAAGAUGCCCAGAAUGUGAAUCCAUCUAGCUGUAUAUAUGACAGUUCAUUUCUAUUAUGAUAAAACGGAGAUUCUGAAAUAACAAGCCGAUAAAUUAUCUCAAAGAUUUCAUUGAAUGAAAAGGUUUGUUUUUACUAAAUUUCUCUGAUUUUGCCAGCGUAGUUAUAUGUGGUUUUUCAGAAAGGAAACUUAAAUGUGGUUGAUCUAUAUAGGCUGUAUUUUUCCAGACAAAACAUCGUUAAUAUAAAAAAAAAGCUUAAAAGACAAAUUCUGAGAAGAUUGGAAGCUUUUUUUUUUUACUUGCAUUCUUCAAAGGAUCAUAAAUCUCCAGAUGUUACAUAUGAUGCAUGCUAACUUCUCUCAAGCCUGAUAUACAGUCACUUGGAAGAAUCAUGACUUUAUUUUAGAAGUCUAUCUUAUCUGUACUGGUUACAAGAAGUAUAAAGAACAUUUUAAGUGUUAAAGAAAGCAGUGGUAUCUAGGAUUCCCUGUCUGCAAUUUUUCUUCUCACUGUUGGAUUUUCCCCAAAUCGACAAUUACUGGAAUUGGUAUAAAAAUAUCUGAGAUAUACAGAAGGAAAAGAUACUAUUUGAAUUAUGGUGCCUACCUGAAUGUAAUAUAUGAAAGUCACUCAACACUUAUUGAUAAAAUUUGUUAAUUUUAUGAGCUAUUACAAAAUGGACAAAAAUGAAGGUAAGAGGCCCCUACCAAUUGUUUCAGGGCUCAUAACCACAAACUCAGAAAUUAGAUGUUGCUGACCCUAAUGACAUAGUUUCAAAGACAGGAAGAAUAUGCUCAUGAGUUCCUAUGAUUAACUAUUUGGGGCAUUCUUUUUUGACUACUUGUGGAGGCCGAUUCCAGACAACAAUAAAGAAACAAUCAUCAGAGAUAGAGAUAUCAAGAUAGAAAGGUACAUAUACACAAUUGGCUUUAAAAUGCUUUCAUGAAU
This is a long non-coding RNA of Perognathus longimembris pacificus (Pacific pocket mouse), 3244 nucleotides long. RefSeq lists it as uncharacterized. The transcript is spliced from 2 exons. Lineage: Eukaryota; Metazoa; Chordata; Mammalia; Rodentia; Heteromyidae. The record is from RefSeq and is a predicted model, not a curated record.